AUUUCAAAUAAGUGGUUUUGUUGUUGAAAAAACAUUUGCUUGAUUUAGUAGAGGUGGGAACUGGUCGGCCUGUGGGUCGACCCAAAAGUAGGUGAUGGAUCUAACUGUGACCCACACUUGCAACGAAAUACGCCAAAUAUGUGGCAGCG
Non-coding RNA from Caenorhabditis elegans, 149 nucleotides. The record is from Ensembl. Lineage: Eukaryota; Metazoa; Nematoda; Chromadorea; Rhabditida; Rhabditidae.